GUUUAUGGGUGAUCAAGAAGGCCCAUUGCCUAGGUUGGUAACCUCCAUUGCACUUGGGAGGGGUGCCCGCCUAACAUCUCCCCAAGUGGGAGAGUGUACGUCAUAAUUUGUGGCAGAGGGGGUACGCGUUCGCGCGGCCCCUACCAUUCUUAGUUAAAUUUUAGUUCUUAAUAAUUAAUAAUAUUCAAUCCGUGAUUGUGAGUAAAUCGUCAUAAAAAGAUGAAUUUCGCCUAUGGGUUCUGUAACGGUAUUGCAUCCGUGGUGAAGUCACUGUGGGAGAAGAAAUCAGGUUUAGUUUGGGGAUUCAUUCUCGCAGUUUUUAUGAAGCCAACGGAAUCCAUUGGAACUAGUGGCUGGAAGCUGUGAAUGUAGAAUUGGGUCGAUGGAUAGUGAUGAGAUUAAGAAAGAAAACAGCAGUUGUUCGAAUUGGAGCUCUGGAGACCUUCCCGAAUGAUGGUUCCAUGAGAUGGGAGAAAAUUGCAGCCGCAGUUCUCGGUAAAUCAAAGGCGUCUUGUAUGAAGAGAGUCGUAUGAAAAUUUGGGGAAUUUGCUCAGUUUCAUUUUCUUUCUACGAUAUUUAUGAGGUUGAGUUUGUUGUUGUUGUUGUUGUUGUUGUUGUUGGCUUGCUACCAAGCGUCGGCUAGGUAGUUUUGUUCAUGUUGAUAAUUUUUGAACAUUCACUUAGUUGGGGUUCUGUGGAAUGUGAUUUGGCAGAAAGCAUUUGAGAGGCACAUGCAAGAAUGCUUGUGUAAGUACUGCAUGGAGUUUUGGAACAGGGAUUCGAAGAGCUAGACAUCUGGACCAAUAUUGGAGAUUUCACUAGCUGGUUUGCUGAGAAUCAUUUAGAGCAGUGGCCAUGGGAAGUGUUUCCACUUUUGUUACAGAUACAUCAAUGUUUUAGUGUUUCCCAUAUGUAAAUAUUAGCACACAAACUUCUCAUGACCCAAAAAGAAAAAAAGCACUGGCGCAUAGCAAUCAACUUUGGUUUCUGGGGUUCAGGCCAAUCCA
Macadamia integrifolia is the source of this 1007-nucleotide long non-coding RNA. RefSeq lists it as uncharacterized. The transcript has 2 exons. NCBI's taxonomy places the organism in Eukaryota, Viridiplantae, Streptophyta, Magnoliopsida, Proteales, Proteaceae. The record is from RefSeq and is a predicted model, not a curated record.